Molecule: transfer RNA, 75 nt
Filed under: Methanobacteriota archaeon
Lineage: Archaea; Methanobacteriati; Methanobacteriota
Description: Euryarchaeota archaeon (hot springs metagenome) tRNA-Met
Rfam family: tRNA
About the family: Transfer RNA (tRNA) molecules are approximately 80 nucleotides in length. Their secondary structure includes four short double-helical elements and three loops (D, anti-codon, and T loops). Further hydrogen bonds mediate the characteristic L-shaped molecular structure. tRNAs have two regions of fundamental functional importance: the anti-codon, which is responsible for specific mRNA codon recognition, and the 3' end, to which the tRNAs corresponding amino acid is attached (by aminoacyl-tRNA synthetases). tRNAs cope with the degeneracy of the genetic code in two manners: having more than one tRNA (with a specific anti-codon) for a particular amino acid; and 'wobble' base-pairing, i.e. permitting non-standard base-pairing at the 3rd anti-codon position.
Source: RNAcentral
AGCGGGGUAGGGUAGCCAGGAAAUCCCGACGGGCUCAUAACCCGUAGACCGAUGGUUCAAAUCCAUCCCCCGCUA